This 857-nucleotide ribosomal RNA is filed under the name Bacillus cereus. Its description in RNAcentral is "bacterial LSU rRNA". It matches the Rfam family "Bacterial large subunit ribosomal RNA", at positions 1 to 892 of the family's 2925-position model. Lineage: Bacteria; Bacillati; Bacillota; Bacilli; Caryophanales; Bacillaceae. The record is from RNAcentral.
GGGUUGUGAGGUUAAGCGACUAAGCGUACACGGUGGAUGCCCUGGCAGUCAGAGGCGAUGAAGGACGUGCUAAUCUGCGAUAAGCGUCGGUGAGGUGAUAUGAACCGUUAUAACCGGCGAUUUCCGAAUGGGGAAACCCAGUGUGUUUCGACACACUAUCAUUAACUGAAUCCAUAGGUUAAUGAGGCGAACCGGGGGAACUGAAACAUCUAAGUACCCCGAGGAAAAGAAAUCAACCGAGAUUCCCCCAGUAGCGGCGAGCGAACGGGGAGGAGCCCAGAGCCUGAAUCAGUGUGUGUGUUAGUGGAAGCGUCUGGAAAGGCGCGCGAUACAGGGUGACAGCCCCGUACACAAAAAUGCACAUAUUGUGAGCUCGAUGAGUAGGGCGGGACACGUGGUAUCCUGUCUGAAUAUGGGGGGACCAUCCUCCAAGGCUAAAUACUCCUGACUGACCGAUAGUGAACCAGUACCGUGAGGGAAAGGCGAAAAGAACCCCGGCGAGGGGAGUGAAAAAGAACCUGAAACCGUGUACGUACAAGCAGUGGGAGCCUCUUAAUGGGGUGACUGCGUACCUUUUGUAUAAUGGGUCAGCGACUUAUAUUCUGUAGCAAGGUUAACCGAAUAGGGGAGCCGAAGGGAAACCGAGUCUUAACUGGGCGUUAAGUUGCAGGGUAUAGACCCGAAACCCGGUGAUCUAGCCAUGGGCAGGUUGAAGGUUGGGUAACACUAACUGGAGGACCGAACCGACUAAUGUUGAAAAAUUAGCGGAUGACUUGUGGCUGGGGGUGAAAGGCCAAUCAAACCGGGAGAUAGCUGGUUCUCCCCGAAAGCUAUUUAGGUAGCGCCUCGUGAAUUCU